RNAcentral lists this ribosomal RNA (371 nucleotides) under uncultured bacterium. Its description in RNAcentral is "bacterial SSU rRNA". It matches the Rfam family "Bacterial small subunit ribosomal RNA", at positions 527 to 896 of the family's 1533-position model. The record is from RNAcentral.
GUAGGGGGCAAGCGUUGUCCGGAUUUAUUGGGCGUAAAGAGCGUGUAGGCGGCCUGAAAGGUCAGCUGUGAAAACUCGAGGCUCAACCUCGAGACGUCGGUUGAAACCAUCUGGCUAGAGUCCGGAAGAGGAGUGUGGAAUUCCCGGUGUAGCGGUGAAAUGCGCAGAUAUCGGGAAGAACACCCGUGGCGAAGGCGGCACUCUGGGACGGUACUGACGCUGAGACGCGAAAGCGUGGGGAGCGAACAGGAUUAGAUACCCUGGUAGUCCACGCUGUAAACGAUGGGUGCUAGGUGUGGGGGGUGUCGACUCCCUCCGUGCCGAAGCUAACGCAUUAAGCACCCCGCCUGGGGAGUACGGCCGCAAGGCUA